UAAGCGGAGGAAAAGAAACCAACAGGGAUUGCCCUAGUAACGGCGAGUGAAGCGGCAAUAGCUCAAAUUUGAAAGCUGGCUUAUGGCCCGCAUUGUAAUUUGUAGAGGAUGCUUUUAGGCAGCCGCCGGUCUAAGUUCCUUGGAACAGGACGUCAUAGAGGGUGAGAAUCCCGUAUGUGACCGGCUCUGGCACCUUAUGUAAAGCUCCUUCGACGAGUCGAGUUGUUUGGGAAUGCAGCUCUAAAUGGGAGGUAAAUUUCUUCUAAAGCUAAAUACUGGCGAGAGACCGAUAGCGCACAAGUAGAGUGAUCGAAAGAUGAAAAGCACUUUGGAAAGAGAGUUAAAAAGCACGUGAAAUUGUUGAAAGGGAAGCGCUUGCAAUCAGACUUGGACUUGGCUGUUCAACAGGUCUUCUGACCUGCCUAUUCAGUCUUGUCCAGGCCAGCAUCAGUUUCGGCGGCCGGAUAAAGGCUCUGGGAAUGUGGCUUUCCCUUCGGGGGAAGUGUUAUAGCCCAGGGUGUAAUACGGCCAGCUGGGACUGAGGUCCGCGCUUCGGCUAGGAUGCUGGCGUAAUGGUUGUAAGCGGCCCGUCUUGAAACACGGACCAAGGAGUCUAACAUCUAUGCGAGUGUUAGGGUGUCAAACCCUUACGCGUAAUGAAAGUGAACGGAGGUGAGAACCCGCAAGGGUGCAUCAUCGACCGAUCCUGAUGUCUUCGGAUGGAUUUGAGUAAGAGCAUAGCUGUUGGGACCCGAAAGAUGGUGAACUAUGCCUGAAUAGGGUGAAGCCAGAGGAAACUCUGGUGGAGGCUCGCAGCGGUUCUGACGUGCAAAUCGAUCGUCAAAUUUGGGUAUAGGGGCGAAAGACUAAUCGAACCAUCUAGUAGCUGGUUCCUGC
This 897-nucleotide ribosomal RNA is filed under the name Dothidea sambuci. RNAcentral's name for it is "LSU rRNA". It matches the Rfam family "Eukaryotic large subunit ribosomal RNA", at positions 47 to 961 of the family's 3401-position model. The record is from RNAcentral. Lineage: Eukaryota; Fungi; Ascomycota; Dothideomycetes; Dothideales; Dothideaceae.